Molecule: long non-coding RNA, 752 nt
Organism: Helianthus annuus (common sunflower)
Lineage: Eukaryota; Viridiplantae; Streptophyta; Magnoliopsida; Asterales; Asteraceae
Exons: 3
Source: RefSeq, a predicted model, not a curated record
CUUUUAUAAACAGCCGACACUUGACCUGUUUUCCCUCCCAUCUCUUUCUCUGCACUUUCUUUUGGAGAAACCCUAACUCACAAGCCUUAUCCUCUCCAAACCUCACAACACAGACAACACCAUCAUCUUCACUCCCCUCUCCCUUUGCAAACACCACAUACUCAGUCACAACCUACAAAAAAAUCAAUGUUAUUUCACACCACAUCCACUCCCUCCCACCGUUUAUAUUCUGGCGACCGGAAUAACAGGCGGAGCCGCUUUACCGGCGACUGCCGGUGCAGUUCUCCGACAACAGUCGCACCCUCACACCCUCAUUCUUACCCCUCUCACUUCUUCGGUGAACGAGAGUGACAUUAUAAGCAGCAAUUGGAGAGAGAGAAUAAACAGGUCGGAGCCAGCGUCGAGCACCGACGAGCUGUGGCGGCGGCAGGCGACGACACCACCGUCUGCAGCGGUGAUGGUGGUGCAGCUGCUGAUGUUGUUCUUGUCGGGAAUCGGGUUUUAAUUUCAGGUCUCGUGGUUAGUUUUGGUUUCGGGUUUCGUUUGAUCUCGGCUCCUAGCUCGGUUCUUAGUUCGGUAACUUCACCGGGGAUUCGACGGAACUCGCACCGUCGUCGGAGGAUAACCGUUUCGUUCGUCCUUUUGGGUUUCGUAAUCUUUACUCGUGCGUCAUUUCAAGGGAUUCUUAUACGCAACCACUGUUGAUUAUUGAAGUAUGGAUGAUUGAUGAAACAAGUUUAGGGUGGCUAGAU